Sphaeramia orbicularis (orbiculate cardinalfish) is the source of this 596-nucleotide long non-coding RNA. RefSeq lists it as uncharacterized. The record is from RefSeq and is a predicted model, not a curated record. The transcript is spliced from 3 exons. Lineage: Eukaryota; Metazoa; Chordata; Actinopteri; Kurtiformes; Apogonidae.
CUUCUUUUGUCCUGUGAACAGCUUAAGAAACACAAGCAGUAGAUUAGAAAACACUGUUCAUAAGGCAUUUGGCGAUUCUAUACUUUAAGGUAAAGGUGGAAGUGGUCACAAAUGAUCAGCUUUUUGAAGUUAUUACAGGAACAGGACAGUGAUGGAAGAAGUAUGUCCUUUACUUAAGUUAAAAUAUCAAUAUUGAAAUGAAAAUGUUCCACUACAGGUGAAUGUUCUGCAUUCAAAAGGUUACUAAAGUGACAGUAUUAACAGCAAAAUGUACUUCAAGUGUGAGAACAAAUAAAGUACCUCAAAUUUGUGCUCUAUACAAUAUGAGGAUAAGUACCUAGUUACAUGUCACAACUAUGGAAUGACAGAGAUUCCAGUUUUGUAGAUAAACUGUAAGAAAUGUCUCUGCCACACAGGCUGUUCUGGGAAAAAAGACUGACUUGAUACUUCAGUCUAAUCACUGCUAGCACAGGUUAAUAAAGGCCACAGAUUACUCAGUGCUUCAUUAAAUCACUUCUAAAAUUACAUUUUGACAAGGUUUUAUAAAGGUUAUUAGGCCAAUUUAAUGAAAGUUCUUCUAUUUAAAUCACUACUGA